UGCGUAGGCGGGCUAAUAAGUCAGUGGUGAAAUCUCUCGGCUCAACCGGGAAACUGCCAUUGAUACUGUUAGUCUUGAGUUCGGUUGAGGUAGGCGGAAUGUGUAAUGUAGCGGUGAAAUGCUUAGAUAUUACACAGAACACCAAUUGCGUCGGCAGCUUACUAGACCGACACUGACGCUGAGGCAAGAAAGCGUGGGGAGCGAACAGGAUUAGAUACCCUGGUAGUCC
RNAcentral lists this ribosomal RNA (229 nucleotides) under uncultured bacterium. RNAcentral describes it as "partial 16S ribosomal RNA". It matches the Rfam family "Bacterial small subunit ribosomal RNA", at positions 568 to 796 of the family's 1533-position model. The record is from RNAcentral.